Ruegeria meonggei is the source of this 115-nucleotide non-coding RNA. NCBI's taxonomy places the organism in Bacteria, Pseudomonadati, Pseudomonadota, Alphaproteobacteria, Rhodobacterales, Roseobacteraceae. The record is from Rfam.
UUUGGUGGUCAUAGCGCAAGCAAAACACCCGGUCCCAUCCCGAACCCGGAAGUUAAGUGCUGCCGCGCCAAUGGUACUUGGGCUUAAGCCCCGGGAGAGUAGGUCACCGCCAAAC